This 3345-nucleotide long non-coding RNA is filed under the name Marmota monax (woodchuck). Lineage: Eukaryota; Metazoa; Chordata; Mammalia; Rodentia; Sciuridae. The record is from RNAcentral.
UGUGGGGGUAAUUUUGACUCUCCAGUCUGGGUUGGAAAAAUUAUUCAAAUAAUACUAUAUAUUCUCAGUAUUUCACACUACCUCCCCUCCCCAUAUUUAUGUGGCACACAUUGGUCAGUAUUGGAAUCAGUCUUUCUAGGCUGGAUAGGCCCUUAGGGAGCUUGGCCUGAGGCUUCACAGAAGCCACACAGGGCUAAGGACAUUGUGAAGCAGCACUGUCCAAGAAUGCUCUGGGGCAGCAGAUGUUCUAUAUCUGCACUGUCUGGAUGGAUAGCUAUUAGCCGUGUUCGGCUGUGGAGCACUUGAAAUGCAGUUAGACUGAAGAAUUGUAUUUAUUUUUUAUGGUGCUAGGAAUUAAAUCCAGUCUUGUGCAUGCUAGGCAAGUGCUCUACCACUGAGCUACACCCUGAGUGCCUGGAUUUAUUUGUGUUCAGUUGUGUUAACUUACAUAGCCACAUGUGGCUAAUGGCUACUGUGUUGGAUAACAAAGGUCUGAAACCCACCAGUCGGGUGUGGAUUCCCACCUCCCUGGAUUCUUGGCAUGGAGCAUGGGCCUGUAGCCCAUAUCUGUUUGGGAUCCUCCCCUGCAACUUACUCAGGGCAUUAGAGGGGACUGCUGUGUUUGUUCUGUCAGGCUCUGCUGCUUCCUGUCAACAGAUGACAAAGCUGAUCAAACAUGCAGCUCAUCCACUUCUCCCCAGAUUCCCUUAAGUUUUAGCCACACUGGAGCAAAUUUAACAUCCAUCCAUGUUCAUUAAUAUCAACAGAGGAACUUAAAACUCUAUUUUUUUUUUUUUAAUUAAUAGACUGCCAGGAGUUGGUGGCUCCUGUCCCACUUUGUGUAUGUGUGAGGGGGCUGCUACUUGAGCUUUGGACUCUGUGAUUUGGGGGUAAGAUGAGGUGGAAUGGAGCUAGGCAUCCUCUGGGGUCUAGGCUCCCUGUUCUCUGAGCAGCUACUGUUACCCCUUAGGUACGCAGAGAUGCCCAAGGCCAAGAAGAACGCAAUCUCUCAUCGCUUCCGGGCCCUGCUGGAGAUGCAAAAGUAUUUUGGCAGCAUGACUCCUCCUGAGGCUGGAGGAGACCACUCAGGCCAGGGAUCUGGGGAGGGCUAGCCUAAACCUGCACCAUCAGGCAGGCACCCCUGGAAGUACUUCCUUCAGGGUUUCCCCUUGCUGGGGGUGUCAAGGCAAUCUCCCUAUCCUGGUCUGGAAGAGCAGCUAACUGCUUAGAGAAAUUCUGAGCAAGUUGAUGCCAGUCUCUUGCCCUUAGGCCAUCUGGGAUUCAGUGAUCUCUAGGCCUAGGAUCCUGAGAGGUCUUUAGGUGCUAAAACUGGCCUUGGCAGGAUUGAGGGUUUGGGAAAGAACCAAAGAGUCUUCAAUGUUCUUACAAUGUGGGAAAUAAAAAUUCUGGAAGGUACUUGUUUCCAAAAUAAACUAGAUACAUCUGCUUUGAACCCUGCCAGGCUGAUGUCUUCUGAGUCCCCUUGGGGGUGGUGAGACAAGGGCAUCGCUGUCAAGGAUGUUUGCCUACCCUUUGCUGGCUUGCAUGUUACAUCUUCUCUGCUUGUGUUCUUUCGAGUCAUGAAUUGUGAGCUGGCCAUUCCUUGCAGGAUGUGUGUUAUCUACUCACCUACCAGUCGAUGCCACUGCCAGCUGGCCUCUAUGGUCUUUGCUGGAUUGUGGGGUGGUCAGUGGGGAACGUUCAGGAUAUUUACUUUAUACUAUUGUACAUUUGAGCAGUUGAGAUGUUGGCUUGAUUGUAAUACCAAUUUAUUUUUCUGGUGGGGAAGGGAUGGAAUCUUUGACCCCAGCUGGGGUGAUAUGCCAUAUGCCAGUUUUGCCUGGGGUCUAGAGGUCCAUCAGGAGAACUGCCUCAGACCCUCACUGUGCCCUGGUGAAGCCAUUCCCAGGGAGGGACUUAGGGGGUGUCAGGUGGCUGCCUUGCAUUUCCUGCAGGCCUUUUUCUGAUAAGGAAGGGUAUACAACCCCAAGGAUGUUUAAAAAAAAAAAAAAAAAACGGGUCAGGGCAGAAAGCAGGUUGGGGUGGUACUCCUCAGUCCUAGUAGACCACUCCCAGGGUAAGUUUUGUGCUCCCAGGCAGCUCUGGAGAGUCUCUACUCCAGCAUAUGUUCUUCAGUCCUGGCAAGGUGGCCCAGGGCUGGGCUCAGCCGUUGAGAACAUUGUCUUCCCCUGACCUGGGGCAGUGCUUCGCUUCCCUCUUGCCUGCCAUACCUAGCUGGGUAGUUUACCCAGGAGGUACCAGCACCUCACCUAUCCUCCUGGGUGGUCUCAGAGUGGGAGGGUGAUGUCUGCCAGGGUCUUAAGUAUGUGAUGCUGGAGAUCUGCCUGUCCCUUGCCUGUGAUUCUGGAUAUGAUCCUACCUACAGGGAACACCCAGGCUACUGAGGAAGGGACCCCCAAAGUAGAAUCACACACCACAUGUGUAUAGUAGAUACAUGGAGUUUGGGGCAGGACACCCUGGUAUUUGCUGAUUGGCUUCUUCAGAGUUCUGUCCUGGGUGCACACUAUGCUUUGUUUGCUUUAUCUUUAGCUACCCAUCCCCAUAUAGGACUAUGGAGAAUAUACUUGUACCUAAGCCCAUCACCACCACUCUGGAGCAGAAUUAUACCAGACUCUAUGCCCUGCAUCCAACCCAAUUUGGCCUUUAACAACUCAUCAAAUGUAAAGUGGCAUCUCUGUUGGCUUGCAUUUCUUUGAUUACCAAGGGUUUUGUUUGUUUUGCAGUGCUGGGAACAGAACACAGGGCCUUGACUGUUCUAGGCAAGCACUCUGCCACUGAGCUAAACUCCCAGUCCUACCAAAGGGUUUGAACAUCUUUGCCAUUCCUAUUUUCUUUUUGGGCUACUUCUUCUGUCCUGUUGGGGUGUUUUUUUGUUUUUUUUUUAUUGGAUUGCAGGAAUUCUUCACAGGCACUGAAGUCCAAGAUACCUUCAUCCUUGGGGACAUUUGUUGAGCCAGAAUCCUGCAAGGUAAUGUGAGGGAAGUCUGGGAGCCAGGUGUUCAUCUGCCACAGCUGCUGCCCUCAGGUACACAGAGAAGCUCUGCCUGAGCCUCAGAUCCAUACCACUUCUGCUGGCUGCCACUGUCAUGGACCCUGACUAACCACCAAAUGAAUAAGCCAGAAACAUGGCAUUUUCUCCCUUCCAUUAAACCAGUCCCCAUGUCUUCCAAUCUGCCAUUCUCUCCUCAGUCCCUCUGUCACUGGCCUAUGCAGGGAGCAGUACAGCCCCUGCUCUCCCCUGCAGCACUAGGCACAGCACCCCAUAAGGCUGAAGCCCUAUCCCCUCUGGGUCCUGGAACGUGUUAUUCCUAGAGCAUUUUCCCC